GUGCGCCCGAGUAUGUGCUCCAAGUCGGCGCAUACCAUUUUGUUUGGUAGGUAAGUUACAGUCCGUGCUCUUGGAAAAUCGAUUCAGGGUGCGUUGCGAAACGGGUACAGUAAAUCAGGAGAAUGGUCUCUUCAAUCAAGCUUCAAUCCACUGAGAUCCGCUAUCGUGGCAGGUGUAAGAAUGCUGAGGUAGACGUCUGCCGUCGAUAAACAGACGACUGGCUGGCAACCUUGGCAACGUCCACGUCUUCAGUGGACUUUUCCGGAGUGCCGAGAAGGGAGCGCCCUCGGUUUCAAUCACGUGCUAUCAAUGGUUGCCCAAUUUCACACACAGGAGACUGCGUCUCACAGGCAAGAAGAGGAGAGAGAGGGGGGGUUGGCACAAGCGACCCGCCUACCUUCCUCUUUAUUUUGCUGGUAAAUCCGAAACCGUGUGCUUAUGGUAAAUGUCAUGCAGGCAGGACGGAGACGAGUGUGUUCUUGUGGAUGAAAAAAAAAAAAAAAAAAGAAGAAUGUGUACGCUCUGACAGCGGAGAGGUAGCCCGGGCCCUGUGUCGAGGAUAAUCAAGGGUCGCGUGCAACAAAGCGAGGCCCCAGCCAGCCGACCUGUGCACAGCAAGUUCCCUGUUCCGCCAUGACAGCUUUUGGCAGGUUCCAGAAGUGUUCUGGAUGUUCUGAUUCAUUAUUAAGGCUGACUGUACUUCUGUGUAUAAUGCAACCAUAGCGUGUGAUGAAAUGCGAUGGAGAUUGCUUGGAAAUGUGCACUCGGAGUGCUAUCGCCGAGGGCAAAGCGACUUACUGGAAAAUGUAUUGCUGCAUACGGUGGUGGUGUUGGCACGGAGCCAAACAGCUGGGAACUUGCCUGUGACACUGGCAACAGAGGCGUGGAGGCGGAAGACAGAUGAUCCCCGGACUUCCUUCUCCUCAAGUUUGUCUCAGAAAAUUCCUUCGUAAGCUUGAGCCGCGUGGUUCGCUCCGCGGAGUAAUCUCACUUGCAUGAACCACGGACUGUUGGAGCUUGGACUUCCUUUCUUGACCUGCACCACGGACUUCUCUCUCAGGAUUGGACCACAGACCUCCAUUUCAAGACUGCACAGACUUUAAGGGCACUCUGUGGACUGUUUCUAAGCUUUAAGGUUAGGGCUUGGGGUGGAAGCAAAUCCCUCGCGCGAAACUCUCGGUUAAUGUUUUAAUGUUUUUUUUUUCUAAACCCACUGCCCACCCCUUCCUCUCUAUCCUCCAUUUCUCGCGCAUGCGUGGAAACGGAACGCAAGAAUAACAUCGUCAGCAUUGUUACUAAGCCUCAAGAUGUCUCACUGCAUGACCAAUGCGCCCGGAAGUUUCCCAUGUGGCCCAAGAUGGCCGAGCUAAUUAAUAAGUUAAAUAUCGAAACGGUUGUUCGUGAGCUGCUGGAAUACCUAGUCUGACAGGGAGCCACAAAAAGAACAUCACUGAGUCACAGAAUUCUGCCCAGAAUACAUCUCUGAGUUGAGCUCGUGAAUAGUAGUGGUCGAGCAUGUUUUGUUGGUUGUGUGUGUGUGUUUAAUUUUUUUGGUUUAGGUUUUUUUCCGGGGUGGGGGGUUGUCCUGGAUUCCCUACUCCUCAACCCACACGUGCAGCCUACACAAGCCGUAAAAUAAAAGACUUGCAGCAA
Molecule: long non-coding RNA, 1653 nt
Organism: Pomacea canaliculata
Lineage: Eukaryota; Metazoa; Mollusca; Gastropoda; Architaenioglossa; Ampullariidae
Exons: 2
Source: RefSeq, a predicted model, not a curated record